This 460-nucleotide ribosomal RNA is filed under the name uncultured bacterium. Its description in RNAcentral is "partial 16S ribosomal RNA". It matches the Rfam family "Bacterial small subunit ribosomal RNA", at positions 338 to 795 of the family's 1533-position model. The record is from RNAcentral.
CCUACGGGUGGCAGCAGUGAGGAAUAUUGGUCAAUGGACGAGAGUCUGAACCAGCCAAGUCGCGUGAAGGAUGAAUGUCCUAUGGGUUGUAAACCUCUUUUAUAUGGGAAUAAAGUGUUGGACGUGUGGGAUUUUGUAUGUACCUUAUGAAUAAGGAUCGGCUAACUCCGUGCCAGCAGCCGCGGUAAUACGGAGGAUCCGAGCGUUAUCCGGAUUUAUUGGGUUUAAAGGGAGCGUAGGCGGCUUUUUAAGUCAGCUGUGAAAGUUUGCGGCUCAACCGUAGAAUUGCAGUUGAAACUGGGAGUCUUGAGUACAGUAGAGGUGGGCGGAAUGCGAGGUGUAGCGGUGAAAUGCUUAGAUAUCACGAAGAACCCCGAUUGCGAAGGCAGUUCGCUGGGCUGUGACUGACGCUGAGGCACGAAAGCGUGGGUAUCAAACAGGAUUAGAUACCCUGGUAGUC